RNAcentral lists this ribosomal RNA (292 nucleotides) under uncultured bacterium. RNAcentral describes it as "partial 16S ribosomal RNA". It matches the Rfam family "Bacterial small subunit ribosomal RNA", at positions 505 to 796 of the family's 1533-position model. The record is from RNAcentral.
GUGCCAGCCGCCGCGGUAAUACGUAGGGUGCGAGCGUUAAUCGGAAUUACUGGGCGUAAAGUGUGCGCAGGUGGCCGCGCAAGUCGAGUGUGAAAGCCCCGGGCUUAACUUGGGAAUUGCGCUCGAAACUACGUGGCUAGAGUGUGGCAGAGGGAGGUGGAAUUCCACGUGUAGCGGUGAAAUGCGUAGAGAUGUGGAGGAACACCAAUGGCGAAGGCAGCCUCCUGGGCCAACACUGACACUCAUGCACGAAAGCGUGGGGAGCAAACAGGAUUAGAUACCCUCGUAGUCC